AGACAAAAGGGGGCCACUCUGCCCUUUUGUGGAAUAGUUUGGACAUGCCUACGGAAUAAAAAACAAACGGCGCGCGCGUGUGUGUGUGUGUGUGCGUGUGUGUCCAACUGGAAAAACAAAGUGAAGGAACAGGAAUCAUUAUUGUGUGUGAAUAUAAUAGAUUUGAUAUGUUGUAUUGAGAUGCAUUUUACCUACUUUUCUUUCACAUUCAUAGACUACAUCCUGACUUGCAUAAAUAAAUAAUAUAAUAAUAAACGAAAUAAUAAUAAACGGAUGACGGUUAGGGGCCGCUUCUGCCAUCUGGUGGCUGCUGAGGGGACCUCAACGGACGACACUUAGGUUUUGGCUGUGCAAAGCUGCUACAGACAGCAGCAUAUGUGAUGCCCGACUGGAUAUCUCGGCGGGUUAUGGUACGGCGGCUCGGUGUCGUGUGGAUCGUCUAGUCGGCGACCACCGCCCCUGUCGUCUCCGGCCCCCGUCGGGCGCAUUUUCUCCGCGGUGGUGCGCCGCGACCGGCUCUGGGUCGGCUUGGAAGAGUUUGGGGGUGAAGGUGGCCGGAGGCUCGACCGUCUCUGGCUUUACAGCACUCUCUGCUCCGACCUCGUCGCUUCCUGGGGCCGUGGACGCAGUACCUCGCUGUGCCUUCCUCCUCCCACCCGGGGGGGGACGGGGCCCCCUCGCCCCCGGCGUGACUGUCAACCGGGACGGACUGUCCUCAGUGCGUCUCAACCGCGUCGCGUCGUUCAGGGCGGGGACCGGCUCACGUACUAUUUGGGUCUCCCCAAAUAGUUUUCAUGCAGAUCCAUAUGACAUAUUUCACAAUUUAAGCAAAAAAAUCAAAAAAUUGUUCGUCACCACAUAUGCUGACGAGGAAGCGAAGGGUUUUGCCUUUACUCCGGCAUCUUGACUCCACCUGACAGCACAUUUGGUGAAGUCCUAAAAAUGAUGUUUAAAAAUGGAAAACGACAUCAGGGGUUGUGAGGCUGAGUUACUAACAUCUCCCCAAAGAGUUUUCAUGCAUGAUAUGAUA
RNAcentral lists this long non-coding RNA (1030 nucleotides) under Gadus morhua (Atlantic cod). Its description in RNAcentral is "lncRNA (ENSGMOG00000024750.1)". Lineage: Eukaryota; Metazoa; Chordata; Actinopteri; Gadiformes; Gadidae. The record is from RNAcentral.